UUAGUCAAGCUACGUUGAGUGCGGUUCAUAGUCAGAUGGGAGCUGUUGAAACAAGCUUUGAUGAGGUGCAUAACAUAUUUGACAUUGGUGGAUCUAAAGGCUUGACUAAGUAUUCAGUGGGAAAAAAUUCCUAAAAUCGCCAUUACUUAAUGAUGUUGAUGAAUUGGGAGAACGCGUUUCUUGUUCCGUGUGCCUUCAGGAUUUUCAAGUUGGAGAAAUACUAAGGAGUUACGAAG
RNAcentral lists this long non-coding RNA (236 nucleotides) under Helianthus annuus (common sunflower). Its description in RNAcentral is "sRNA HanXRQr2_Chr02g0077841". Lineage: Eukaryota; Viridiplantae; Streptophyta; Magnoliopsida; Asterales; Asteraceae. The record is from RNAcentral.